UAAUUUUCUUCUCAUUCACUCACGCCUCACAUUCACUCCUAGCGGCGCUCUCCUCCUUACCUCCUACCACCACCAACACUAAUGACCACCUUCAUCUUUUUUUCUUUCUCAACUCACUCUCUUACCUAACGCAUAAAACCCUAACACAAACAAAGAGGAAGAAAUCCACUUCAAUCGAUCUUCAUCCUUCCUCCUCACUUUCACUCCUUCAAAUUAUGAAAUAUUGCAUGUCUAGAUCUGAAAGACACAUGGAAAGUGGUAGUGGAUCCUUUACCUCAAAUUCCAAACAUUUGCAAGAACUCAAGGAGCCGAUGUGUUUGAUUCGGUGGAAGAUCAAGGAGUUUGAGAACAUUGUAUUUGUAUUUAAUUGUCCAGAUCCAGUGUUACUAUUAUUAUUUUAAAGGCCAAUGUAUUUAUUUUCUUUGAGAGUGAGAAGUCUGUAAAUUAUUAAGCAUGGAUUGUAUUAGUUUUUAUUUUUUAAGGAAUGGUUUGUAUUAGUUCUUUGAGA
This is a long non-coding RNA of Medicago truncatula (barrel medic), 508 nucleotides long. RefSeq lists it as uncharacterized. NCBI's taxonomy places the organism in Eukaryota, Viridiplantae, Streptophyta, Magnoliopsida, Fabales, Fabaceae. The record is from RefSeq and is a predicted model, not a curated record. The transcript is spliced from 2 exons.